This 1260-nucleotide ribosomal RNA is filed under the name Candidatus Melainabacteria bacterium. RNAcentral's name for it is "bacterial SSU rRNA". It matches the Rfam family "Bacterial small subunit ribosomal RNA", at positions 1 to 1340 of the family's 1533-position model. Lineage: Bacteria; Bacillati; Candidatus Melainabacteria. The record is from RNAcentral.
GUCAUGGAGAGUUUGAUCCUAGCUCAGGACUAACGCUGACGGUAUGCCUUAUACAUGCAAGUCGAACGGUAAGGUCUCUUCGGAGAUACACGAGUGGCGGACGGGUGAGUAACACGUAGGAAUCUGCCCCAGAGCGGGGGACAACCAAGAGAAAUCUUGGCUAAUACCCCAUACGACUUCGGUUAAAAGAUUUAUCACUUUGGGAGGAGCCUGCGUUUGAUUAGCUUGAUGGUGCGGUAAAAGCGCACCAUGGCGACGAUCAAUAGCUGGUCUGAGAGGAUGAUCAGCCACAAUGGGACUGAGAUACGGCCCAUACUCCUACGGGAGGCAGCAGUAGGGAAUUUUGCGCAAUGGAGGAAACUCUGACGCAGCAAUACCGUGUGCGGGAAGACGCUCUGUGGAGUGUAAACCGCUGUCAGGUGGGACGAAACAAAUGACUGUACCACCAAAGGAAGCACCGGCUAACUCUGUGCCAGCAGCCGCGGUAAUACAGAGGGUGCAAGCGUUGUCCGGAUUUAUUGGGCGUAAAGCGUCUGUAGGUGGUUUAGUAAGUCUGAAGUGAAAGAACGGAGCUCAACUCCGUCCCCGCUUCGGAAACUAUUAAACUAGAGAAUGUUAGAAGUAAGUGGAAUUUCCAGUGUAGCGGUGAAAUGCGUAGAUAUUGGAAGGAACACCAGAGGCGAAAGCGGCUUACUGGGACAUUUCUGACACUGAGAGACGAAAGCGUGGGGAGCGAAAGGGAUUAGAUACCCCUGUAGUCCACGCCGUAAACGAUGAGUACUAGUUGUCAUGGGAAUCGACCCCUGUGGUAACGAAGCUAACGCGUUAAGUACUCCGCCUGAGUAGUACGUACGCAAGUAUGAAACUCAAAGGAAUUGACGGGGACCCGCACAAGCGGUGGAACAUGUGGUUUAAUUCGAUGCAACGCGAAAAACCUUACCUGGCCUUGACAUCUGUGGAACUUGGUAGAGAUACCUCGGUGCCUUCGGGAACCGCAAGACAGGUGCUGCACGGCUGUCGUCAGCUCGUGUCGUGAGAUGUUGGGUUAAGUCCCNNNNNNNNNNAAGACUGCCGGUGUUAAACCGGAGGAAGGUGUGGACGACGUCAAGUCAUCAUGGCCCUUAUGGCCAGGGCUACACACGUGUUACAAUGGUCGGUACAACGGGCAGCUACUUAGCAAUAAGGUGCUAAUCCCUUAAAACCGAUCUCAGUUCGGAUUGAAGGCUGCAACUCGCCUUCAUGAAGUAGGAAUCGCUAGUA